RNAcentral lists this transfer RNA (76 nucleotides) under bacterium. Its description in RNAcentral is "tRNA-Ala". It matches the Rfam family "tRNA". Rfam says of the family: Transfer RNA (tRNA) molecules are approximately 80 nucleotides in length. Their secondary structure includes four short double-helical elements and three loops (D, anti-codon, and T loops). RNAcentral also lists the same sequence under 2 other names. The record is from RNAcentral.
GGGGACGUAGCUCAGUUGGUAGAGCGCCUGCUUUGCAAGCAGGAGGUCAGGAGUUCGAGACUCCUCGUCUCCACCA